This 2758-nucleotide ribosomal RNA is filed under the name Klebsiella pneumoniae. RNAcentral describes it as "partial 23S ribosomal RNA". It matches the Rfam family "Bacterial large subunit ribosomal RNA". Lineage: Bacteria; Pseudomonadati; Pseudomonadota; Gammaproteobacteria; Enterobacterales; Enterobacteriaceae. The record is from RNAcentral.
CACUAUCGUUAACUGAAUACAUAGGUUAACGAGGCGAACCGGGGGAACUGAAACAUCUAAGUACCCCGAGGAAAAGAAAUCAACCGAGAUUCCCCCAGUAGCGGCGAGCGAACGGGGAGCAGCCCAGAGUCUGAAUCAGCUUGUGUGUUAGUGGAACGGUCUGGAAAGUCCGACGGUACAGGGUGAUAGUCCCGUACACCAAAAUGCACAGGUUGUGAACUCGAAGAGUAGGGCGGGACACGUGGUAUCCUGUCUGAAUAUGGGGGGACCAUCCUCCAAGGCUAAAUACUCCUGACUGACCGAUAGUGAACCAGUACCGUGAGGGAAAGGCGAAAAGAACCCCGGCGAGGGGAGUGAAAAAGAACCUGAAACCGUGUACGUACAAGCAGUGGGAGCACCUUCGGGUGUGACUGCGUACCUUUUGUAUAAUGGGUCAGCGACUUAUAUUCUGUAGCAAGGUUAACCGUAUAGGGGAGCCGCAGGGAAACCGAGUCUUAACUGGGCGUUAAGUUGCAGGGUAUAGACCCGAAACCCGGUGAUCUAGCCAUGGGCAGGUUGAAGGUUGGGUAACACUAACUGGAGGACCGAACCGACUAAUGUUGAAAAAUUAGCGGAUGACUUGUGGCUGGGGGUGAAAGGCCAAUCAAACCGGGAGAUAGCUGGUUCUCCCCGAAAGCUAUUUAGGUAGCGCCUCGUGAAUUCAUCUUCGGGGGUAGAGCACUGUUUCGGCUAGGGGGUCAUCCCGACUUACCAACCCGAUGCAAACUACGAAUACCGAAGAAUGUUAUCACGGGAGACACACGGCGGGUGCUAACGUCCGUCGUGAAGAGGGAAACAACCCAGACCGCCAGCUAAGGUCCCAAAGUCAUGGUUAAGUGGGAAACGAUGUGGGAAGGCACAGACAGCCAGGAUGUUGGCUUAGAAGCAGCCAUCAUUUAAAGAAAGCGUAAUAGCUCACUGGUCGAGUCGGCCUGCGCGGAAGAUGUAACGGGGCUAAACCAUGCACCGAAGCUGCGGCAGCGACACGAUGUGUUGUUGGGUAGGGGAGCGUUCUGUAAGCCUGCGAAGGUGUGCUGUGAGGCAUGCUGGAGGUAUCAGAAGUGCGAAUGCUGACAUAAGUAACGAUAAAGCGGGUGAAAAGCCCGCUCGCCGGAAGACCAAGGGUUCCUGUCCAACGUUAAUCGGGGCAGGGUGAGUCGACCCCUAAGGCGAGGCCGAAAGGCGUAGUCGAUGGGAAACAGGUUAAUAUUCCUGUACUUGGUGUUACUGCGAAGGGGGGACGGAGAAGGCUAUGUUAGCCGGGCGACGGUUGUCCCGGUUUAAGCAUGUAGGCUGGUUGUCCAGGCAAAUCCGGAUAAUCAAGGCUGAGGUGUGAUGACGAGGCACUACGGUGCUGAAGUAACAAAUGCCCUGCUUCCAGGAAAAGCCUCUAAGCAUCAGGUAACAUCAAAUCGUACCCCAAACCGACACAGGUGGUCAGGUAGAGAAUACCAAGGCGCUUGAGAGAACUCGGGUGAAGGAACUAGGCAAAAUGGUGCCGUAACUUCGGGAGAAGGCACGCUGGUGUGUAGGUGAAGUCCCUGCGGAUGGAGCUGAGACCAGUCGAAGAUACCAGCUGGCUGCAACUGUUUAUUAAAAACACAGCACUGUGCAAACACGAAAGUGGACGUAUACGGUGUGACGCCUGCCCGGUGCCGGAAGGUUAAUUGAUGGGGUUAUCCGUAAGGAGAAGCUCUUGAUCGAAGCCCCGGUAAACGGCGGCCGUAACUAUAACGGUCCUAAGGUAGCGAAAUUCCUUGUCGGGUAAGUUCCGACCUGCACGAAUGGCGUAAUGAUGGCCAGGCUGUCUCCACCCGAGACUCAGUGAAAUUGAACUCGCUGUGAAGAUGCAGUGUACCCGCGGCAAGACGGAAAGACCCCGUGAACCUUUACUAUAGCUUGACACUGAACAUUGAGCCUUGAUGUGUAGGAUAGGUGGGAGGCUUUGAAGCGUGGACGCCAGUCUGCGUGGAGCCAACCUUGAAAUACCACCCUUUAAUGUUUGAUGUUCUAACGUUGGCCCCUGACCGGGGUUGCGGACAGUGUCUGGUGGGUAGUUUGACUGGGGCGGUCUCCUCCCAAAGCGUAACGGAGGAGCACGAAGGUUAGCUAAUCCUGGUCGGACAUCAGGAGGUUAGUGCAAUGGCAUAAGCUAGCUUGACUGCGAGCGUGACGGCGCGAGCAGGUGCGAAAGCAGGUCAUAGUGAUCCGGUGGUUCUGAAUGGAAGGGCCAUCGCUCAACGGAUAAAAGGUACUCCGGGGAUAACAGGCUGAUACCGCCCAAGAGUUCAUAUCGACGGCGGUGUUUGGCACCUCGAUGUCGGCUCAUCACAUCCUGGGGCUGAAGUAGGUCCCAAGGGUAUGGCUGUUCGCCAUUUAAAGUGGUACGCGAGCUGGGUUUAGAACGUCGUGAGACAGUUCGGUCCCUAUCUGCCGUGGGCGCUGGAGAAUUGAGGGGGGCUGCUCCUAGUACGAGAGGACCGGAGUGGACGCAUCACUGGUGUUCGGGUUGUCAUGCCAAUGGCACUGCCCGGUAGCUAAAUGCGGAAGAGAUAAGUGCUGAAAGCAUCUAAGCACGAAACUUGCCCCGAGAUGAGUUCUCCCUGAGACUUUAAGUCUCCUGAAGGAACGUUAAAGACGAUGACGUUGAUAGGCCGGGUGUGUAAGCGCAGCGAUGCGUUGAGCUAACCGGUACUAAUGAACCGUGAGGCUUAACCUU